RNAcentral lists this ribosomal RNA (120 nucleotides) under uncultured bacterium. RNAcentral's name for it is "partial 16S ribosomal RNA". It matches the Rfam family "Bacterial small subunit ribosomal RNA", at positions 215 to 334 of the family's 1533-position model. The record is from RNAcentral.
UCGGUGAAAGAUCGGUCCGCGUUAGAUUAGCUAGUUGGUAGGGUAAUGGCCUACCAAGGCGACGAUCUAUAGCUGGUCUGAGAGGAUGAUCAGCCACACUGGGACUGAGACACGGCCCAG